This is an RNA transcript of Juglans microcarpa x Juglans regia, 1844 nucleotides long. It is a transcript of the gene named CBL-interacting serine/threonine-protein kinase 12-like, with no coding region annotated. The transcript is spliced from 3 exons. The record is from RefSeq and is a predicted model, not a curated record. Lineage: Eukaryota; Viridiplantae; Streptophyta; Magnoliopsida; Fagales; Juglandaceae.
UCUUUGUUCUGUCUUCGGUCUCUUACCGACCCAUGUUGAUGUUCGUAGCACCAACAUAAAUCCCCACACACCCUUUCUUUUCAUAUCGUUCUUUUGAUUUCGCAAUGGCUAACAACAACAUGACCAACCACAAACCCACCACCACCAAGAAGGAAGCUCAGGCCUUACUCCUCGGCCGCUUUGAGGUCGGUAAGCUCCUUGGCCAUGGCACCUUUGCCAAGGUCUAUCAUGCCCGCAACGUCAAGACCGACGAGAGCGUCGCCAUCAAGGUUAUCGACAAGGAGAAGAUUCUCAAGGGUGGCCUCAUCGCCCACAUCAAGCGAGAGAUCUCCAUCCUCCGCCGCGUCCGCCACCCCAAUAUUGUCCAGCUUUUCGAGGUCAUGGCCACCAAGUCCAAGAUCUAUUUCGUCAUGGAGUUCGUCCGCGGCGGCGAGCUCUUCAACAAGGUCGCCAAGGGUCGCCUCAAGGAGGACGUCGCCCGCAAGUACUUCCAGCAAUUGAUCUCUGCCGUCGGAUUCUGCCAUUCCCGCGGCGUCUUCCACCGCGACCUCAAGCCCGAAAACCUUCUUCUCGACGAGAACGGCGAUCUCAAGGUCUCCGAUUUCGGUCUCAGCGCCGUUUCCGACCAGAUUCGCCAGGACGGGCUGUUCCACACGUUUUGCGGCACGCCGGCCUAUGUUGCGCCCGAGGUUUUGGCUCGGAAGGGGUACGAGGCGUCGAAGGUGGAUAUUUGGUCCUGUGGGGUUAUACUCUUCGUUUUGAUGGCCGGCUAUUUGCCCUUUCACGACCAGAACAUAAUGGCUAUGUACAAAAAGAUUUACAAGGGCGAAUUUCGAUGUCCGAGAUGGUUCUCUCCGUCGCUGACUCGGCUCCUUACCCUUCUUCUGGAUACAAAUCCGGAAACCCGGAUUACAAUCCCGGAGAUCAUGGAGAACAAGUGGUUUAAAAAAGGGUUUAAACUCAUCAAGUUCUAUAUCGAGGAUGACAAGCUUUGUAAUGUCGUGGACGAGGAGGAGGAGGCGGAUGAGAAUGAAAACUCGGUCUCGGACGAAUCCGAAUCGGACUCGGACUCAGGGUUCGAUACGAGGAUUACAAGGAGGGUGAAUACAUUGCCGAGACCGGCGAGCUUGAACGCGUUCGACAUCAUAUCGUUCUCGCGCGGGUUCGAUCUCUCCGGGUUGUUCGAGGAGGGAGGAGAGGAGGCGAGGUUCGUAUCGGGCGCACCGGUGUCCAAGAUUAUAUCGAAACUGGAGGAAAUCGCGAAACUGGUGAGCUUCACGGUGAGGAAGAAGGAUUGCCGGGUCAGCUUGGAGGGGUCGAGGGAGGGCGUGAAGGGACCGUUAACCAUUGCCGCCGAAAUUUUUGAGUUGACGCCGUCGUUGGUGGUGGUGGAGGUGAAGAAGAAAGGCGGAGAUAGAGGAGAAUACGAGGACUUCUGCAAUAGAGAAUUGAGACCCGGUAUGCAGAAUUUGAUGUUAGAGGAAGCCGCCUGUUCGUUUUCAUCUGCUUCAUUCCAAACACCUUCGGAAACUUCUUCAUUUCUACCUUCGGUUACUUCUUCAUUUCUACCUUCGGAUACUGAAUAAAGGAUAAAGGAAGAGAGAGAAAGAGAGGGAAAGAAGGGAGAAGGGAGAAGGGGCUUGUGGAAAGUUGGAUAUGUAUCAAUCAAUGGAGGCCUUUUGAGCAGUGGAGCUUAAUUUUGUGAAGGUGUUGACGCUAAGCACUAAGGUUUGAUAUGGAAACUUUGACAUUGGAGUGCAAUUUAGGCACAGACAUUCUGAUUUAGAGCUGCUUUGUACAGGGCUUUUUUUAAUUUUUUAUUUAAUGUCUGCUGAUAUUACCUU